Molecule: ribosomal RNA, 282 nt
Filed under: uncultured Sphingobacterium sp.
Lineage: Bacteria; Pseudomonadati; Bacteroidota; Sphingobacteriia; Sphingobacteriales; Sphingobacteriaceae
Description: partial 16S ribosomal RNA
Rfam family: Bacterial small subunit ribosomal RNA
Source: RNAcentral
GAGUUUGAUCGUGGCUCAGGAUGAACGCUAGCGGCAGGCUUAACACAUGCAAGUCGAGGGGCAGCACUGGUAGCAAUACCUGGUGGCGACCGGCAAACGGGUGCGGAACACGUACGCAAUUUACCCUUGUCUGGGGGAUAGCCCGGAGAAAUCCGGAUUAACACCCCAUAAGAUAUUAGAGUGGCAUCACUUAGAUAUUAAAAUCUCCGGAGGACAAGGAUGAGCGUGCGUCCCAUUAGAUAGUUGGCGGGGUAACGGCCCACCAAGUCGACGAUGGGUAGC